GUUUGAAAAAAAUAACUAUCAGCGAUAGAUUUGUCUGUUUGUUAUUUCUAAAAUGGCAGCAUCGGGGGUACUGGCUAUAAAAACCACGAUAACUAGGCCGCCCCUCUAUAGCACAACACGUUCCACGCAGGAAACCAAGGGCAGAAAAAAUCAAAUUCCUUCCUACGGGGGCGCACUAUCUCAUCCGUGGCAUGCUAAUUAAUGAACACACGUGGCUUACAGCAAUUAUUCGACAAUAUAUAUUACUUUUAAACUUGUGGAGAACACAGCGACACUAAGGCAAGCUCACAAUUUUGUU
Molecule: long non-coding RNA, 298 nt
Organism: Zophobas morio
Lineage: Eukaryota; Metazoa; Arthropoda; Insecta; Coleoptera; Tenebrionidae
Exons: 3
Source: RefSeq, a predicted model, not a curated record